This 315-nucleotide ribosomal RNA is filed under the name Menneus capensis. RNAcentral describes it as "partial 12S ribosomal RNA". Lineage: Eukaryota; Metazoa; Arthropoda; Arachnida; Araneae; Deinopidae. The record is from RNAcentral.
AGGUAGUAUUAAUAAUAAACCUAUAUAGUUUGGCGGCACUUCAUCUAUUUAGAGGAACUUGUCUUUUAAUCGAUACCCCGCGCUAAUUUUCACUUAAUUUUAAAGUUGGUAUACCGCCAUUUUUAGAAUAAAUUAAAAAAUUAAAUUCUAAAUAAAAAUCUAGAAAAUUAGGUCAAGGUGUUGCUUACAUUUAAGAUAAGAUGAGUUAUUAUAAACAAUAUUUAAGGAUUAAAUUUCAAUAAAAAUUUAUAAAAAAGAGAUUUAAAAUAGUAAACUAUAAACAAUACUUAUAAUUGAAUUAGAUAAUAAGUGAGC